UACGAAGGGGGCUAGCGUUGUUCGGAAUUACUGGGCGUAAAGCGCACGUAGGCGGAUCGAUCAGUCAGGGGUGAAAUCCCAGGGCUCAACCCUGGAACUGCUUUGAUACUGUCGAUCUGGAGUAUGGAAGAGGUGAGUGGAAUUCCGGGUGUAGAGGUGAAAUUCGUAGAUAUUCGGAGGAACACCAGUGGCGAAGGCGGCUCACUGGUCCAUUACUGACGCUGAGGUGCGAAAGCGUGGGGAGCAAACAGG
This 252-nucleotide ribosomal RNA is filed under the name uncultured bacterium. RNAcentral's name for it is "partial 16S ribosomal RNA". It matches the Rfam family "Bacterial small subunit ribosomal RNA", at positions 524 to 776 of the family's 1533-position model. The record is from RNAcentral.